CCGCCCGGAAUCCAGGGAAUUUCGGGAAUUUCCCCUCUCCCCAGUCCCUUCUGUUUCCACAGCCAGCUGGCUCCAAACCUUGGGGCUUUCCGAGUUCUCCUCAGCCCCUUCAGGAAUUCCACCCAUCCAAAUUCCCAGGAAUGUCCCCAAGCAGAGCCACCAUUCCCUGUGUCCCAUUCCCAUCCCUGUGUCCUAUUCCGUGUCCUAUUCCCAGGAAUGUCCCCAAGCAGAGCCACCAUUCCGUGUCCCAUUCCCAUUCCCCGUGUCCCGUUCCCAUUCCCUGUGUCCCAUCCCCGUGUCCCAUUCCCAUUCCAAGAAUGCGCUCCCAUUCCUGUGUCCUAAUCCCAUUCCCUCUGUCCUGUUCCCAUUCCCAUCCCCGUGUCCCAUCCCCAUGUCCCAUUCCCAUUCCCAUGUCCCAUUCCCAAUCCCCAUGUCCCAUUCCCAUUCCCAUGUCCGAUCCCCAUCCCCGUGUCCCAUUCCCAUUCCCAUUCCCAUUCCCAUUCCAGGAACGCGCUCCCCUUCUCGGGAAGUUCGCAGCCGCUGCCGGAGGCUCUGGGCACCAGGCGCAGCCGCGCUAAUUAAUUUAAUUACUUCCAGCAGGUAACGAGCCAAGCUCCCUCGGGGCUGCCUCUCCCAGAAUCCCGGGAUUUGGGUGGGAUUCCGGAAUUUCUCCUCCCGGCUUUCAAAGGGACGCGGCGUGGAGCAGCCGGGGUGAAAAUCCCCUCAGCUCCGGGGUUUUUGUGGGAAUUCUGCUCCGAGGAGGGACAGGACAGCUCCAGCUCCGGGCUGGGAAUUCCCAGAAUUCUGGGAAUUCCCGGGAAUUUGGGUGGGGAGGGGCCUGGAAUCCCAGGCAGGGACAACUCCCAGGGUGCUCCGAGCUGGCCUGGGACAUUCCAGGGAUGGGGCAGCCACGGAUUCCCAGGAAUUCUCCCCAGUAUCCGACCCCAAAUUCCUCUCGUGGAGCUCUGCUCAAUUUUGGGGGAAAUUUUUAUAGAUUUGAGUUGGUUCCACCUUCAUUUUCCUCUCUUCCCAUUCUCAUUCCCAUCCCACAGCCGGGAUUUUCCAGCCAGGCCACGAUCUGUCCCAGAAUGUGAAUAAUAAAGGUAAAAAAGCCCAAAAGCA
RNAcentral lists this long non-coding RNA (1122 nucleotides) under Lonchura striata (white-rumped munia). RNAcentral's name for it is "domestica (Bengalese finch) lncRNA (ENSLSDG00000003995.1)". The record is from RNAcentral. Lineage: Eukaryota; Metazoa; Chordata; Aves; Passeriformes; Estrildidae.